RNAcentral lists this ribosomal RNA (253 nucleotides) under uncultured bacterium. RNAcentral describes it as "partial 16S ribosomal RNA". It matches the Rfam family "Bacterial small subunit ribosomal RNA", at positions 524 to 776 of the family's 1533-position model. The record is from RNAcentral.
GACGGAGGGUGCGAGCGUUAAUCGGAAUUACUGGGCGUAAAGCGCAUGUAGGCGGCCGAACAAGUCAGGUGUGAAAGCCUCGGGCUUAACCUGGGAAGUGCUCUUGAUACUGUCCGGCUAGAGUUUGGCAGAGGAAAGUAGAAUUCCCGGUGUAGCGGUGAAAUUCGUAGAUAUCGGGAGGAAUACCAGUGGCGAAGGCGGCUUUCUGGGCCAAUACUGACGCUGAGGUGCGAAAGCGUGGGGAGCAAACAGG